GCGGCUUAAUUUGACUCAACGCGGGGUAAUUUACCAGGUAUAACAUGGUAUAAUAUUUUAUCAUGAUAGUGGUGCAUGGCCGUUUCCAAUGGAUGCUGUGAAGUAAUGAUUAAUUUCAACAAGAUGUGAGACCCUCGUUUAGACAGAUGUAGUGAUACAUAUGAAGGAGAGGAUUAAAACAGGUCCGUUAUGCCCUAAGAUAAUCUGGGUUGCACGCGCAAUACAAUAAUAUUUGGUAUUAUAAGGGAUAAUAUAAUGUAAGAUAUAUUUGAACAUGGAAUUGCUAGUAAAUUUUAUUUAAUAAGUAGAAUUGAAUGAGUCCCUGUUCUUUGUACACACCGCCCGUCGCUAUCUAAGAUGGUAUUAUCUAUGAACAAAUUUAUAAAGUGAAUAGAUAGUACUAGAUCUGAUAUAAGUCGUAACAUGGUUGCUGUUGGAGAACCAUUAGCAGGAUCAUAA
Molecule: ribosomal RNA, 459 nt
Filed under: Nosema bombycis
Lineage: Eukaryota; Fungi; Microsporidia; Nosematidae
Description: SSU rRNA
Rfam family: Microsporidia small subunit ribosomal RNA
Source: RNAcentral